CCCGUCCCGCCGCCCCCGCCCGACGGGGUGCAGCAGGCGCGAAACCUUUACACUGCACGCAAGUGCGAUAAGGGGACCCCAAGUGCGAGGGCAUAUAGUCCUCGCUUUUCUCGACUGUAAGGCGGUCGAGGAAUAAGAGCUGGGCAAGACCGGUGCCAGCCGCCGCGGUAAUACCGGCAGCUCAAGUGAUGACCGAUAUUAUUGGGCCUAAAGCGUCCGUAGCCGGCCACGAAGGUUCAUCGGGAAAUCCGCCAGCUCAACUGGCGGGCGUCCGGUGAAAACCACGUGGCUUGGGACCGGAAGGCUCGAGGGGUACGUCCGGGGUAGGAGUGAAAUCCCGUAAUCCUGGACGGACCACCGAUGGCGAAAGCACCUCGAGAAGACGGAUCCGACGGUGAGGGACGAAAGCUAGGGUCUCGAACCGGAUUAGAUACCCGGGUAGUCCUAGCUGUAAACGAUGCUCGCUAGGUGUGACACAGGCUACGAGCCUGUGUUGUGCCGUAGGGAAGCCGAGAAGCGAGCCGC
This 525-nucleotide ribosomal RNA is filed under the name Haloferax volcanii. Its description in RNAcentral is "bacterial SSU rRNA". It matches the Rfam family "Archaeal small subunit ribosomal RNA", at positions 302 to 827 of the family's 1478-position model. The record is from RNAcentral. Lineage: Archaea; Methanobacteriati; Methanobacteriota; Halobacteria; Halobacteriales; Haloferacaceae.